AUAACGGUCCUAAGGUAGCGAAAUUCCUUGUCGGGUAAGUUCCGACCCGCACGAAAGGCGCAACGAUCUGGGCACUGUCUCAACGAGAGACUCGGUGAAAUUAUAGUACCUGUGAAGAUGCAGGUUACCCGCGACAGGACGGAAAGACCCCGUGGAGCUUUACUGCAGCCUGAUAUUGAAUGUUGGUACAGCUUGUACAGGAUAGGUAGGAGCCUUGGAAACCGGAGCGCCAGCUUCGGUGGAGGCAUCGGUGGGAUACUACCCUGGCUGUAUUGACCUUCUAACCCGCCGCCCUUAUCGGGCGGGGAGACAGUGUCAGGUGGGCAGUUUGACUGGGGCGGUCUCCUCCUAAAGAGUAACGGAGGAGUACGAAGGUGCGCUCAGACCGGUCGGAAAUCGGUCGUUGAGUGCAAUGGCAUAAGCCUGCCUGACUGCG
Molecule: ribosomal RNA, 436 nt
Filed under: Rhizochromulina marina
Lineage: Eukaryota; Dictyochophyceae; Rhizochromulinales
Description: partial Bacterial large subunit ribosomal RNA
Rfam family: Bacterial large subunit ribosomal RNA
Source: RNAcentral